This is a long non-coding RNA of Lagopus muta (rock ptarmigan), 930 nucleotides long. RefSeq lists it as uncharacterized. The record is from RefSeq and is a predicted model, not a curated record. NCBI's taxonomy places the organism in Eukaryota, Metazoa, Chordata, Aves, Galliformes, Phasianidae. The transcript has 4 exons.
CUUGUACUCCUUUGUUACAGUCAGCUCCUCUGUAAGUCUGGGGAAACGAGAAACGUUGCAAGUACAUAUGAGAAAUUUUGCCAAGGGCAAUGAUCCACAGCAUAAAUACUAAGAAGCCCAGAGAUGCAAGACUGCAGACAAGGACGGUUAAUGUUUCCAGAAGGAUGAUGCCCACACAGAUCAGGUUCAAAGGCUCGCCAGGUCUACAGAGAGAUGUGAGUGGCAACCUGCAGCUUCUGAGCCACUGCUCCUUGUGCAAGACCAGAGCAUCCUCAGGACGGAAGACCCAUGCAGCUGGAUCUAGAUACGUAGAUCAGACAUAAAUGCUAAAGAACUACGUUCAGAAUGGGACCAGACUCAUUCCUGCUGCAAUCUCAGCUCUUCUUGAAGGAGUGAAACAGAGGCUGAGUAGGUGUCUGGCUGCCAAUGAAGGACAACCAACCACAACCACAGAGGAUGAUGGGGUCACAUGAAUACAAGAAAAAAAACAAGAAAUUAUACUGCCCUAAUUGGCUCUGGAAAGACUGUGCAAUAUGCUCAAAGUAUUCUUCUAAGCUUGAUAUUUAGAGGUAAAGACAUUUAUUCUCUAUAUAAUAAAUACAACAUUCUGGAUACAUAUAGAGAGAGGAUAAAUAGCAAAAUGGGACUCACUGGAAGAAUGGGAAAAAAAUGUUCAUGAAUAAAGUGAUUAUUAUGGUGUUCUCUGACACCUGUGACUUUAAUUGCAUAGAUUUAAUAAUAAAUUGACAACAGGAGCAACAAGGAUACUAAAACUGUUUCAUCAUGAAAAAAAUACUUUUUUUGUUUGUUUGUUUUUGCAAAACUAAAUUGCCUAGUAUUGUUACCUUUGCUAAGAAAAACUCUGGUCCAGAAAGGAUUAAAAAAUAGACAGAUUUUUUCUUUCUUUAGAAAGUUGUGAGCACAAGAAAG